Long non-coding RNA from Penaeus monodon (black tiger shrimp), 424 nucleotides. RefSeq lists it as uncharacterized. The record is from RefSeq and is a predicted model, not a curated record. NCBI's taxonomy places the organism in Eukaryota, Metazoa, Arthropoda, Malacostraca, Decapoda, Penaeidae. The transcript has 3 exons.
UGGCUUCAGAUGCGACUGCUGGUUGGCUUCAGUGCCAUCAAAGUUGUAAAGGAUCCCUGAAUAAGGAAUCCAAUUGCCUCUCGGUUUUCUGGCGCUUAUAGGCCCCGCAGUCGCUGGCAUGCCACAGAAGGUAAACAAGUAAUUUUGAAACUCUCCGCCUGUCGUCAGCAGAGAUCUCUCGAAAUACGGGGGAAAAACAAGUAAUAGUGAAACAAGUGUUGUAAUUGGUGAAGAGAAGGAAACUAUAACAUAUUCGGAACAACCACGUGAGACACCAUGUCGAAUAAGUGUGGGAAAACAACACUCACCAACUUUCUAAGUGAGGCUGGAGAAGUGGGAAGUGGGGAGUACAGACCCACCAAAGGCUGCAGGAUUCUGGAAUUCGAAGUGCCCAAUGUAACCUACAACAAUACUGCAGCCAGUG